Molecule: ribosomal RNA, 501 nt
Filed under: uncultured bacterium
Lineage: Bacteria
Description: partial 16S ribosomal RNA
Rfam family: Bacterial small subunit ribosomal RNA
Source: RNAcentral
AUUGAACGCUGGCGGCAGGCUUAACACAUGCAAGUCGAGCGGAGAUGAGGUGCUUGCACCUUAUCUUAGCGGCGGACGGGUGAGUAAUGCUUAGGAAUCUGCCUAUUAGUGGGGGACGACAUUCCGAAAGGAAUGCUAAUACCGCAUACGCCCUACGGGGGAAAGCAGGGGAUCUUCGGACCUUGCGCUGAUAGUUGAGCCUAAGUCGGAUGAGCUAGUUGGUGGGGUAAAGGCCUACCAAGGCGACGAUCUGUAGCGGGUCUGAGAGGAUGAUCCGCCACACUGGGACUGAGACACGGCCCAGACUCCUACGGGAGGCAGCAGUGGGGAAUAUUGGACAAUGGGCGGAAGCCUGAUCCAGCCAUGCCGCGUGUGUGAAGAAGGCCUUUUGGUUGUAAAGCACUUUAAGCGAGGAGGAGGCUACCUGGAUUAAUACUCUAGGAUAGUGGACGUUACUCGCAGAAUAAGCACCGGCUAACUCUGUGCCAGCCGCCGCCGUAA